Molecule: ribosomal RNA, 481 nt
Filed under: uncultured bacterium
Lineage: Bacteria
Description: partial 16S ribosomal RNA
Rfam family: Bacterial small subunit ribosomal RNA
Source: RNAcentral
GACGAACGCUGGCGGCGUGCUUAACACAUGCAAGUCGAACGCUGAAGCUCAGCUUGCUGGGUGGAUGAGUGGCGAACGGGUGAGUAACACGAGAGUAACCUGCCCCCUUCUUUGGGAUAACGCCCGGAAACGGGUGCUAAUACUGGAUAUUCACUGAUCUUCGCAUGGGGGUUGGUGGAAAGGUUUUUUCUGGUGGGGGAUGGGCUCGCGGCCUAUCAGCUUGUUGGUGGGGUGAUGGCCUACCAAGGCUUUGACGGGUAGCCGGCCUGAGAGGGUGACCGGUCACAUUGGGACUGAGAUACGGCCCAGACUCCUACGGGAGGCAGCAGUGGGGAAUAUUGCACAAUGGGCGAAAGCCUGAUGCAGCGACGCCGCGUGAGGGAUGGAGGCCUUCGGGUUGUAAACCUCUUUCGCUCAUGGUCAAGCCGCAACAUUGGUUGUGGUGAGGGUAGUGGGUAAAGAAGCGCCGGCUAACUACGUG